GACGAACGCUGGCGGCGUGCUUAACACAUGCAAGUCGGACGGUCUGUAUAUUGAAAGCUUGCUGGAUAUGUACGGAUAGUGGCGGACGGGUGAGUAACGCGUGAAUACCUGGCCAUCGGAGGGGGACAACGGCUGGAAACGGUCGCUAAUACCGCGUAAGCCGUAAGGUGAAAGGCCACGGGAGUGGCUGCCGAUGGAUGGGUUCGCGUCCUAUCAGCUGGUUGGUGGGGUAAGGGCCUACCAAGGCUAAGACGGGUAGCCGGUCUGAGAGGGUG
RNAcentral lists this ribosomal RNA (275 nucleotides) under uncultured bacterium. Its description in RNAcentral is "partial 16S ribosomal RNA". It matches the Rfam family "Bacterial small subunit ribosomal RNA", at positions 28 to 302 of the family's 1533-position model. The record is from RNAcentral.